Molecule: long non-coding RNA, 496 nt
Organism: Cannabis sativa
Lineage: Eukaryota; Viridiplantae; Streptophyta; Magnoliopsida; Rosales; Cannabaceae
Exons: 3
Source: RefSeq, a predicted model, not a curated record
UUUAUUUUCAUCUAUCCCCAAUUUAUUUUCAUCGUUUCCGUUACAGAUCUUGAACGUGUUCGGAGAAGAAGAGGACGAACGAGCAAGAAGAGGUCUGUACCGAGGAGAGAUCGUCAAUGGGGGACGCCGGAGAGAGAGCACCGUCAGCUCAUAGCCCAACUCUUUAAAUCCCCGAACACUGUGAAAUCCUUUCAAUUAUCGCUUGCGAUUACAUUACCAGUAUUCUAUUUUGUGAAGAAGCAUGAAUUUUAGAUCUUGGAUUGCCAGAGGGAUUCCGGGUCUGGUUCCAGUUCUGGUGUGGGAGCUGUUUCGAUUUGGAGUGUGGCAGUGGGAGUUGCAUGCAUACAUUUUGCUGGUGGGUUUGCACUCAGGCCUUAUACCAUUCCUCAUAUAUUUUUAUUUUAGAGAAACUGGUGAAAGAGCAAGCUUCCGUGAAGACAGAUCUAGACAUGGCGGUACCUCUCUUUGUUUCUCCCUGUGUCUAUCGGUGCUUUCG